RNAcentral lists this transfer-messenger RNA (358 nucleotides) under Alteromonadaceae bacterium 2753L.S.0a.02. It matches the Rfam family "transfer-messenger RNA". Rfam says of the family: Bacterial tmRNA, also known as 10Sa RNA or SsrA, is named for its dual tRNA and mRNA-like properties. Its role is to liberate the mRNA from a stalled ribosome. RNAcentral also lists the same sequence under 1 other name. Lineage: Bacteria; Pseudomonadati; Pseudomonadota; Gammaproteobacteria; Alteromonadales; Alteromonadaceae. The record is from Rfam by way of RNAcentral.
GGGGGCGAUUAGGAUUCGACGCCGGUGUCAAAGCCCAAGGUGCAUGCCGUGAGGACAGCGAAUCACGUUAAUCCAAAGCUGUAUCUGAAUAGUCGCAAACGACGAUUCUUACGCUUUAGCAGCUUAAGCCUGCUAACGGUCUGCAACAAGGUGCCAGUACCGCGAUGCCGACUGUCAAACAGAACUGGCUAGUUGUGUUGUUCCGAUCGCGGCAACAUUGCGAAACCUAAAGCGAACUCGCUCACUACGUCCUGCCCGUUGGGUUGUUCCUGAGUUAAAUUAAUUAACGGAAUCUAAGCAUGUAGAGCCGCGGAUGGAGAGCUGACGGACGGGGGUUCAAAUCCCCCCGCCUCCACCA